RNAcentral lists this ribosomal RNA (389 nucleotides) under uncultured bacterium. RNAcentral describes it as "bacterial SSU rRNA". It matches the Rfam family "Bacterial small subunit ribosomal RNA", at positions 355 to 760 of the family's 1533-position model. The record is from RNAcentral.
UCGGGAAUUUUGGGCAAUGGGCGAAAGCCUGACCCAGCAACGCCGCGUGAAGGAUGAAGUAUUUCGGUAUGUAAACUUCGUAAGAAUAGGAAGAAUAAAUGACGGUACUAUUUGUAAGGUCCGGCUAACUACGUGCCAGCAGCCGCGGUAAUACGUAGGGACCAAGCGUUGUUCGGAUUUACUGGGCGUAAAGGGCGCGUAGGCGGUGUGUCAAGUCAGUUGUGAAAUCUCCGAGCUUAACUCGGAACGGUCAACUGAUACUGUUCACACUAGAGUACAGAAGGGGCAAUCGGAAUUCUUGGUGUAGCGGUGAAAUGCGUAGAUAUCAAGAGGAACACCUGAGGUGAAGACGGGUUGCUGGGCUGACACUGACGCUGAGGCGCGAAAGC